Molecule: non-coding RNA, 84 nt
Organism: Gloeopeniophorella convolvens
Lineage: Eukaryota; Fungi; Basidiomycota; Agaricomycetes; Russulales
Source: the annotation of a GenBank genome assembly
GACUUCGUAGCUCAGCGGUAGAGCGUCUGAUUCCAGCGCUUUGGUGCUUCCAGAAGGUCAUCCGUUCAAUCCGGGUCGAGGUCA